GCUGAAUUAAAGCAAAUGUUGUAGCUUUGGGUAAUUUGUUAAAGCUUUAGUGAGACGUAAAAUCAUAUUUUUUGUUUCUUGUAUUAUCAAUACCUUACAAAAAAUGUCGGUUAAUAGAACGACUACUGUAGAGCGAACCAACGAAACAUCUUCUGAAUACAGUUUGUAUAAAAUCCACCAAUGCCAUUACAUAUUAUAGCUACGUGACGCGUAAUUAAACACAGGUUGUAACUUUGGUUCAUUUGAAAAAGCUUGAGUGAGACGUGAAAUAAAACUGUGUAUUAGUAUCAAAACAUUAGGUACGAUGUCAAUAUUUAGGACGACGAGAACGAACAUACAAAUCAACUUCCGCAUAAAG
This 358-nucleotide long non-coding RNA is filed under the name Mytilus galloprovincialis (Mediterranean mussel). Lineage: Eukaryota; Metazoa; Mollusca; Bivalvia; Mytilida; Mytilidae. The record is from RNAcentral.